GGGAGCUUGCUCCCGGAUGUUAGCGGCGGACGGGUGAGUAACACGUGGGUAACCUGCCUGUAAGACUGGGAUAACUCCGGGAAACCGGAGCUAAUACCGGAUAGUUCCUUGAACCGCAUGGUUCAAGGAUGAAAGACGGUUUCGGCUGUCACUUACAGAUGGACCCGCGGCGCAUUAGCUAGUUGGUGAGGUAACGGCUCACCAAGGCGACGAUGCGUAGCCGACCUGAGAGGGUGAUCGGCCACACUGGGACUGAGACACGGCCCAGACUCCUACGGGAGGCAGCAGUAGGGAAUCUUCCGCAAUGGACGAAAGUCUGACAGAACAACGCCGCGUGAGUGAUGAAGGUUUUCAGAUCAUAAAUCUCUGUUGUUAGGGAAAAACAAGUGCCAGAAUAACUGCGUGCACCUUCACUGUACCAAACCAAAGCCCCACGGCUAUCUACGUGACCUC
This 453-nucleotide ribosomal RNA is filed under the name Bacillus sp. (in: firmicutes). Its description in RNAcentral is "bacterial SSU rRNA". It matches the Rfam family "Bacterial small subunit ribosomal RNA", at positions 74 to 512 of the family's 1533-position model. The record is from RNAcentral. Lineage: Bacteria; Bacillati; Bacillota; Bacilli; Caryophanales; Bacillaceae.